UAUAACUUUUAAUGAAGACAGUUGAAGUUCCAGAAAUACUGUACAGUCUAGACUUGCUCAUAUUCGUACCGAUAUAGAAAUGUAAAUGUUGGAGUAAAGGGAUCUUCAGAGAAUAGAACAGUAACUUGUCUCGCAUCACAUUUCAUUAAUUCGAAUAAGGACUCAGAAGAUUGGCAGUUCAUUUGAAUAUUUAUGAAUCUCACGUUUUAAACUGUGAAAUGAGACUCGUUUGCCCAUAUAAGUAACUCUGCGGAGUGUCAGACUGAACUUUUACGUUACAUAACCCUCAAAUGGAUCAACUCGAACAUUGAAGCUUAAAUCAACAAAUUUCAAGAAAACGUGGAGAAUGAUGUAUAGAAGAGGAACUCAUCGCUCGAAUGCAAUUUUGCUGCGAGCUAAACAGUUUUAAGGUGUGAUACGCAACUUUUGAACUGAUGAACUCAAACACUGAGGCUUAACAGCAAAUCUAACAGAAAAUUCUUGGAAAAUGUAGAAAAUGAUGUACGAAACAAUAGAAACGAAUCGAUGUGUUAAACAUUUUUAUUAUUAUAUUCCCGGACAAGAACUCUUGAAAAUUGUAAACUGUUUAUCCAAUAUCGGUGUCUCUAAUGACACGAUGCGUCCAAAUAGCUGGUGAAUGCCAGUGGAAAGACGAAAGAGAAAAAAGGGGUCGUAGAAGCGAAAGAAAGUAUGUAAACUUACACUUUAUGAGCUGCACAACAUCCGUAUGCGUGGACUGCAUUACAUUCACGCCGUUAACCUGGAAAGACCAGUCGCAAUUAUAAACACUGUACA
Molecule: long non-coding RNA, 795 nt
Organism: Nomia melanderi (Alkali bee)
Lineage: Eukaryota; Metazoa; Arthropoda; Insecta; Hymenoptera; Halictidae
Source: RefSeq, a predicted model, not a curated record